UGCUUCGGCGGUAUCGAACCCCAGGCCGCCCGCGUGGCAGGCGAGCAUUCUACCACUGAACCACCGAUGC
This 70-nucleotide transfer RNA is filed under the name Cordylochernes scorpioides. RNAcentral's name for it is "tRNA-Gly". Lineage: Eukaryota; Metazoa; Arthropoda; Arachnida; Pseudoscorpiones; Chernetidae. The record is from RNAcentral.